RNAcentral lists this ribosomal RNA (305 nucleotides) under uncultured bacterium. RNAcentral's name for it is "bacterial SSU rRNA". It matches the Rfam family "Bacterial small subunit ribosomal RNA", at positions 336 to 658 of the family's 1533-position model. The record is from RNAcentral.
UUCCUACGGGAGGCAGCAGUGGGGAAUAUUGGGCAAUGGGCGCAAGCCUGACCCAGCAACGCCGCGUGAAGGAAGAAGGCUUUCGGGUUGUAAACUUCUAUCAGCAGGGAAGAAAAUGACGGUACCUGACUAAGAAGCCCCGGCUAACUACGUGCCAGCAGCCGCGGUAAUACGUAGGGGGCAAGCGUUAUCCGGAUUUACUGGGUGUAAAGGGAGCGUAGGCGGCGAUGCAAGUCAGAAGUGAAAGCCCGGGGCUCAACUCCGGGACUGCUUUUGAAACUGUGUUGCUAGAUUGCAGGAGAGGG